GAUUUCCUUGUAGUGGCUAAUGCGAACAAGCAGAAGGGUUUUGUUAUCUGUCCAUGUGUUGACUGUAAGAAUCAGAAGGGUUACUCUUCCUCAAGAGAAGUUCACCUGCACCUGCUUCGGCACGGUUUCAUGCCAAGCUAUAAUUGUUGGACCAAGCAUGGAGAAAGAGGGGUUAUAAUGGAAGAAGAUGAAGAAGGGGAUGAUUUCAUCGAUGAAAGCUAUCUUGCUCAUUUCGGUGAUACUUUCAUGGAGGAUGCUGAAGGUGAAGGGGAAGGUGAAGGGGCAGGUGAAGGGGAAGGUGAAGGGGAAGGUGAAGGUGAAGGUGAAGAAGAGGCAUGUGAUGAGACCGUUGAUGAUCUUGGUCGGACCAUUGCUGAUGCACGGAGACGCUGCGAAACUGAAAAUGAGAGGGAGAAUUUGGAUCGCAUGUUAGAGGAUCACAGAAAGUCGUUGUACCCUGGAUGCAAUGAUGGUCUGAAAAAGCUGGGUUGCACACUGGAUUUGCUGAAAUGGAAGGCACAGGCAGGUGUAGCUGACUCGGCAUUUGAAAACUUGCUGAAAAUGUUGAAGAAUAUGUUUCCAAAGAAUAACGAGUUGCCCGCCAGUAUGUACGAAGCAAAGAAGGUUGUCUGCCCUCUAGGUUUAGAGGUUCUGAAGAUACAUGCAUGCAUCAACGACUGCAUCCUCUACCGCGGUGAAUACGAGAAUUUG
Molecule: ribosomal RNA, 711 nt
Filed under: Triticum aestivum (bread wheat)
Lineage: Eukaryota; Viridiplantae; Streptophyta; Magnoliopsida; Poales; Poaceae
Description: partial small subunit ribosomal RNA
Source: RNAcentral